AUUGCUUCUCGGCCUUUUGGCUAAGAUCAACUGUACUGUGUGUUCCUAUCAGUUUAAUAUUAGACAACCUGACUACCUAUUUUCAUGAAGUAAUGUCUCUCCCAUUCCUC
Molecule: small nuclear RNA, 110 nt
Filed under: Zalophus californianus (California sea lion)
Lineage: Eukaryota; Metazoa; Chordata; Mammalia; Carnivora; Otariidae
Description: U2 spliceosomal RNA (ENSZCAG00015020529.1)
Rfam family: U2 spliceosomal RNA
About the family: U2 is a small nuclear RNA (snRNA) component of the spliceosome (involved in pre-mRNA splicing). Complementary binding between U2 snRNA (in an area lying towards the 5' end but 3' to hairpin I) and the branchpoint sequence (BPS) of the intron results the bulging out of an unpaired adenosine, on the BPS, which initiates a nucleophilic attack at the intronic 5' splice site, thus starting the first of two transesterification reactions that mediate splicing.
Source: RNAcentral